GGAGAGGUGCCUGAGUGGCCGAAAGGGCCGGUUUGCUAAACCGUUGUACGAGCUUAAACUUGUACCGAGGGUUCGAAUCCCUCCCUCUCCGCGA
This 94-nucleotide transfer RNA is filed under the name Niastella yeongjuensis. RNAcentral describes it as "tRNA_Ser_GCT". It matches the Rfam family "tRNA". Rfam says of the family: Transfer RNA (tRNA) molecules are approximately 80 nucleotides in length. The record is from RNAcentral. RNAcentral also lists the same sequence under 2 other names. Lineage: Bacteria; Pseudomonadati; Bacteroidota; Chitinophagia; Chitinophagales; Chitinophagaceae.